RNAcentral lists this ribosomal RNA (557 nucleotides) under Chaetopsina penicillata. RNAcentral's name for it is "eukaryotic LSU rRNA". It matches the Rfam family "Eukaryotic large subunit ribosomal RNA", at positions 40 to 608 of the family's 3401-position model. The record is from RNAcentral. Lineage: Eukaryota; Fungi; Ascomycota; Sordariomycetes; Hypocreales; Nectriaceae.
AUAUCAAUAAGCGGAGGAAAAGAAACCAACAGGGAUUGCCUCAGUAACGGCGAGUGAAGCGGCAACAGCUCAAAUUUGAAAUCUGGCCCCCGGGUCCGAGUUGUAAUUUGCAGAGGAUGCUUUUGGUGAGGUGCCUUCCGAGUUCCCUGGAACGGGACGCCAUAGAGGGUGAGAGCCCCGUCUGGUCGGACACCGAGCCUCUGUAAAGCUCCUUCGACGAGUCGAGUAGUUUGGGAAUGCUGCUCUAAAUGGGAGGUAUGUGUCUUCUAAAGCUAAAUACCGGCCAGAGACCGAUAGCGCACAAGUAGAGUGAUCGAAAGAUGAAAAGCACUUUGAAAAGAGAGUUAAAAAGCACGUGAAAUUGUUGAAAGGGAAGCGUUUAUGACCAGACUUGGGCCUGGUUGAUCAUCCGGCGUUCUCGCUGGUGCACUCUUCCGGCCCAGGCCAGCAUCAGUUCGUCCUGGGGGAUAAAGGCUCUGGGAAUGUGGCUCCCUCGGGAGUGUUAUAGCCCACUGCGCAAUACCCUGCGGCGGACUGAGGUACGCGUCCGCAUGGAU